RNAcentral lists this unclassified non-coding RNA (214 nucleotides) under Hevea brasiliensis (rubber tree). Lineage: Eukaryota; Viridiplantae; Streptophyta; Magnoliopsida; Malpighiales; Euphorbiaceae. The record is from RNAcentral.
AAGCUGAGAUCUUCGUCGUCGUCGUCAUCGGCGCCGGUGCCGGCGAGUGAUGGAGUGAGUAGGACGGAGAAGAUGAGGAGGGAAGAGAGAAAAAGGAGAAGAAUGAGUCGACUGGUCAUUUUGUGAGUCAGUGACGAGUUGACUGAGAUCGAUGAGAUUUCUAUUACUGAAGAGAGAUCCGACAGAGUCUUCAGCUUAGACUGUGUUCACAUUU